UCCCUGGUAGCUCAGACGGUAAAGCGUCUGCCUGCAAUGCAGGAGACAUGGGUUCAAUUCCUGGGUCGGGAA
RNAcentral lists this transfer RNA (72 nucleotides) under Bos taurus (domestic cattle). It matches the Rfam family "tRNA". From Rfam's summary of the family: Transfer RNA (tRNA) molecules are approximately 80 nucleotides in length. Their secondary structure includes four short double-helical elements and three loops (D, anti-codon, and T loops). Further hydrogen bonds mediate the characteristic L-shaped molecular structure. tRNAs have two regions of fundamental functional importance: the anti-codon, which is responsible for specific mRNA codon recognition, and the 3' end, to which the tRNAs corresponding amino acid is attached (by aminoacyl-tRNA synthetases). tRNAs cope with the degeneracy of the genetic code in two manners: having more than one tRNA (with a specific anti-codon) for a particular amino acid; and 'wobble' base-pairing, i.e. permitting non-standard base-pairing at the 3rd anti-codon position. RNAcentral also lists the same sequence under 2 other names. The record is from Rfam by way of RNAcentral. Lineage: Eukaryota; Metazoa; Chordata; Mammalia; Artiodactyla; Bovidae.